This 599-nucleotide long non-coding RNA is filed under the name Homo sapiens (human). RNAcentral's name for it is "long non-coding RNA NONHSAT142433.2". The record is from RNAcentral. Lineage: Eukaryota; Metazoa; Chordata; Mammalia; Primates; Hominidae.
CUGAAUGUUGGGCACCUCAAGUUGACAUUUUGCAGUGUGGGCCCCACUGAGUGUGCUGCCCUGGCCUUUGUGCUGCAGCACCUCCGGCGGCCCGUGGCCCUGCAGCUGGACUACAACUCUGUGGGUGACAUUGGCGUGGAGCAGCUGCUGCCUUGCCUUGGUGUCUGCAAGGCUCUGUAGUGAGUGUUACUGGGCAUUGCUGUUCAGGUAUGGGGGAGCACCAUCAAGGCUAAGUGUGGGAGCACCGAGCUGGGCUCUAGAAGUCUGGGCCCAGCUUCGCCUCUGCCACCCUGCUUUGCAACACUGCCCAGAUCCCUUCCCUUCUGGGCCUUAAUUUCAAUAUGUGAUGAUGACAGCCACACUUUAUUGACUGGCCUAUGUGCUGGGUCUGGUGCUAUGCUUUCCGGAAUGACCUCAUCUAAUCUCUACAACCACCCUGGCGGUUCUGGGGCAACAGAGUGGGUGACGAGGGGGCCCAGGCCCUGGCUGAAGCCUUGGGUGAUCACCAGAGCUUGAGGUGGCUCAGCUGGUGGGGAACAACAUUGGCAGUGUGGGUGCCCAAGCCUUGGCACUGAUGCUGGCAAAGAACGUCAUGCUAG